GCCUCAGCAAUUCUGAGAUUUCAGUUGAGAUUAGUCACAGGUUAGUCACAAAACUGCCUGUUUUGCAAGCCUCGCUGAGUUCGCGCAACACGCUAGACUAGGCUAAGCAGAAUCGGUUUUAAGAUGUACUUAGAAGACGGCUCUGUAAACUCACAGGAUUUAUAGAGGAUUUAUUUCAUGUGUUGCUACCUCCACCCCAAAGUUCAUUUAAAACAAAGUUUUGGCCUUUCCUUAGAUGUUCCAACAAACAGAGCCACAGAUGGAGACUUCGAUGACUUUCAGCCCAACCUUCCUCGCAGGGCUGCUGUGAAGAAAUAUAGGAUGAUGGUGACUAUGUUUAUGUCUUAUGAGUCCAUUUCUUGCUGCUGGAUGAGGGAGUAAAUGAGGGAUCAUUCUUUUCUCAGUGCUAUUGUAACUUCAAGCAGUCAUUAGAUGAAUGGCUGUAAAUUGAGGACAAGUCUAUAAGGAAGUGGUUCUUAAAGAAGAUAUGAUGUGUUGGAAACUACAGAAUGGGAUAUUGCAGAUGACAACGUCUUUGAAACCAACUACUAUUUGUUUUGAUUUGCCAUGGAAGUAAUAAACU
This is a long non-coding RNA of Ahaetulla prasina, 583 nucleotides long. RefSeq lists it as uncharacterized. NCBI's taxonomy places the organism in Eukaryota, Metazoa, Chordata, Lepidosauria, Squamata, Colubridae. The record is from RefSeq and is a predicted model, not a curated record. The transcript has 4 exons.